GCGUCGGUGGCCUAAUGGCGUAGAGCACUCCCUCCCGGUAAGCAGGAGGUUCGGGUUCGAGUCCCGUCCGGCGCA
Non-coding RNA from Heligmosomoides polygyrus, 75 nucleotides. The record is from Rfam. NCBI's taxonomy places the organism in Eukaryota, Metazoa, Nematoda, Chromadorea, Rhabditida, Heligmosomidae.